GUUUUCAGCUCAGCAAAAUUAUCAAGGACAUUGCCAUCCAGUUGCAGGGAGAAGCAAGUCCGGUGGCAGGUGUCCUCACGGUCCAUUAAGACUUGGUGGAUCUCUUGCACCAUCUCUUGAGGAGACACCUGCAGGGAAAAGGGCUCUAUCCCGGGUGCGCAGAUCUUGACAGUAAAUCCCGUGUCUUGGAUGACAAUGACCUCCUGGUCAUUCCCGUCUUCCCCUGCAUCAGCCUCCUCAUGUCCAUUCUGCCUGGCAUCCUUCUCACCCUUCAGGUUCUCAUGGGGGCCGCUGCCAUUGACAAGUGCCACGCCAGGCAGGUGCUCGGGCCGCUGCUCGGCCUCCGCCGCCCUCCCGCCGCGCGGCCCCGGCUCCUGCUGCUCUCCGCCCUGCGCGGAGGCCGGCACGGCGGCCGGCGGCAUCUCGUCCGCUUUGCUGACCAUGGGCGCCCCGCGCCGUGCCCGCCGUGUCCCGUCCCGCCGCGCCGCGAAGGACAGCGCCGCUCCGACCCACGUGGUGCGGCGACCCCGCUACGGCGCGCGGCCCGGGACCAACCUCCGCGCCGCCCGCAACGCCUUAAAGGGGCCGCGCGCGCGGGGCCGGGGGCGGGAUGGGCCGCGGCGGGGCGGCCUCGGCGGAACGCGGCGCAGGGCGGUGGGGCCGGACGGGCCGGGGGGUGGCGCGGCUCCGCGCUGCCAUGCGCUGCCGCGGCCCGGGCCCGGUGCACGGGCACAGAGCGGCCGGAGCAGGCCUCGCCGCGGGCGGGCGGGCGCCGCGCUGCAGCAGGCCGCUGCCGACCUUCCCGACGCCUGCAAGGUCGCGGCGGGCUCCGUGCGGGGCCCCGGGGCUGCGGUGCCGCCGGAGCGCUGCGUGUGGGCCGGCUGAGGGCCGUGCGGGACCGGGGCGCGGGCGGCCGCCUUCCUCGGGAUUGAAAAACAAACGGCCAAAAGCCAAUUUCGUCCGGUUUGCGGCCUGGGGACGCCGUGCCACGAGUUGGGCCGGGAGAGGCGGCACCGGGGAGGGGGGACCGGGCCGUGGGGCCUCCGGGAGCACAGAGCUCGGCCGGCCCGCAGCUGUGUCCUGGGGACGGGGGUGGGAAUGGGGACGAGGACAGGGACGGGUGUUCGCCCCGGGCACGCUCGGCUUCAAGCCGUGUCAGAGCCGGGGCCCGGGGCUGGGGGCGGCGGGCCGGGAGCUGCUGCCGGUGGGCGCUCAGAGGGCCGCGCUGGGGCAGGAAAGGGCGACUCCAAAGGGACUGCAGUUUUUUCAUGGAGAAGUAGGUGUAUCGCAGUGACUUAUCGUGUACAGCUUACAGCUCCGUUCUCUGCUCUCUGGGUAUGUAGAGAAUUCGUUUUGAAAAUCACUUGGUUAAAAAAAGUCAACGUGAGCACCUGUGGAGCUGCAGCACGGGGGGACAGCUGAUGGCUACACCGGUGCUCCAGGCCCACUGGGCUGUGCACAGUGCAGAACAGCAGCAGUGGGUGAAAGAGCAGUGCCUGCCUGUUGGUGUGCAUGCAGGAGUUGCCAACACGCUGUGUUUUAUAUAUAUCAGGUAAUGUUUGACAAUGGAGCGUUAUUGCUAUGCAUCCAUUUCCAGUCUAAUUAUUAAGCUUUAUGCGUCAACAUUACACAUUGCUUGUUCCAUACAGAGCGUGUAGGUGUCAGCAGUUACACUCCCGGUCUGUAUGUGUCCAUGUACAGAGCUCUGCAGCACAAUGUACAGCUAUGUUAACCGCUCCAACUCAUGCGGAGCUGAGCAGCACUGAGCAACGCAGUGAUGAGGCACUGCCCUGCGCUGCAGCCAGGGGUGGGGGCAGCUGGGCCCCCCGCACACAUGGGCAGGGCAGGUGCUGCCCGGGGCUCCCUGCUGCUCUGUGAGCUCAAUGCACCCAGCAGCAUCCCAGAGGUUAAACACAGGAGUGCUGCCUUGCUGGGUUUUUGGAUCAUUUAGAUCUCGUUGAGCAUUUUAUAUAAAUACAAAGAUUAAAAUAAUUUAUUUCAACAUCAUUUCUAUUACAAUCAUACAGUGUUUUCCCUUCAAAGCAAGUGCGUUAUGUGUAUACAUAUAUAUAAGUGCGUAUAUAUUGUACUCUAGAGCUUCCCCCCAUUCAGGAGCAGCAGUGACCGCAGUGCAGUGCAUGAGGCCGGCCCUCCCCAGCUCAGGGCUGGCCCCGGACUCUCAUGGCCCUGCUGCCUCCAUCCAGGCUGGCAUGGGGUGGGCAGAAGCCACGAGGCACUGAGAUGGGAUGUGCCCCUUGAGCUCGGAGCGCAGCUGAUGGCUGUGAAGGGGGAAGGGUCCUGCAGCUCCCACAGGGUUGCUUCAUUUACAUACUAGGCACUAAAAAUGCUGAUUGUUAGGAAGAUAUUUACAGAAAACAGGAGGGUACUUACACGCCCUCCCCUUUCUAAUGCUCAGGUCAGUCAUGAACAACAUGAUUUUAUCAGUAACGUUAUAAUAAAAAUGCAACGCACUCUGUGUAUCGGGAUUGUCUAGGAACGAGGGGAAACCAGCUGUGCAAAUCACAGCACAGGGACGCACUGAGAUGUUUUACCCUCUCUCACAUAAAAGAACACUCAGACGUGCCCUCAGCAGAAGCACUCAGCCUGGGAAGCGCAGCCCUGUCCCAAGGCCGGGAGGGGCUUCACCUGUGGGAUGCUGGGUUGUCCCUCACCUGCUGCCAUGCAGGGCCCUCCUGGGAGCAUGGCCAGAGGCUGCUGGUGCAGCACUGGGGGCACGGGGGGGUCCUGCCACUGGAAUUGGACACUUCUUCCAGUGGGUGCCCAGCACAGACAAAGGGCAGCAUGAAAGCUGCUCGCCUCCUGCAGAGCUGAUUGUACUUUGGGGUUUGAUUUUACCAUCUGGACAGCUGGCCUGGGAUUGCUACUGAGAGUCUCGUAAAAGCAUUGUAAGUUUUAAACACUGAGCUACAAAAAUAGAGCCCUCCGGCUGCGUGGGCACUCUGCGGGAUGGAGGCAGGCGAUGGUUCAGAGGGAGGGCGAUGCUUUCCCAGGGGUUUGAACUGAGCGCGAAGGAGGCGGACUCCGAUGGGUCGGACACUGCAGGCAAAGCGUCAUCUGCAGCCUCUGCUCCUGAUGGGGCUGCACUGUGGCCAGCUCUGCCCCGUGGGUGGCAGUGCACCAGAUCCCGCUUUGUCAGUGCCUUGCUGACAUGAUUUCAGUCCGCGGUGAGAAAACAGCAGCCGGCUGUAGGUGCCAAUGAGGAGCCACAGUGCCGGCGUGUGGACACCCCAUGCGGGUGAUGUGGGUCACAGCCGUGCUCCGGCAACGUGUGGGGAGCAGCGCCGGGUGCUGCAGGCGGGCACCUUUCAGUCUGGGGGACCCCUGCAGCAGCCUUGUCCCAGCCUUGUUCCUUUAUUGCCCUUGGCAAGCUCGUGCAGCGUUGCCCCACCAUGCUCUGCAUGGCCCAGCCCUGUGGGCUCAGUGCUGGGCUGCAAGCAGAGCACUGCCUUCCACUGCCCCCUUCCCCGGGGGGACAGGGGCAGCAACCUCGGCUGGUGCUCACAUGGUGCUCCGGGGUCAGCACCUUCCCAGCCACUCAGGCCGUGCCCACCUCAAUGCCUACUCCCGGGCGCGGGCACCGCGGGGCCCAGGCCCCGGCUGCUUGCCAGGCUCACCCUUGGCUGGCCGAGCCCUGGCUAUGGGCUCCUGUGGUGGCGGCUGGGGCAGCCGUUGUGCCCGGGGGGCCGUGGCAGCACCCCGGGUCUCGGCGGGGGGCUCCAGCGGUGAUGGGCGCUGCGGGGCGGGCGGCCGUGCUGUAUAGAGGAAGAGGGCCGGGUCAGGCAUGGCGUCGUGCUCCUCACGCACGGGGUCCCUGGGCCGGGUGCCAACCCCAGGUGGGCGCCGCGGGUGCACCCUAUGGCCGCGGCGCUGCGGCCUGCCCUCAGCCGGGGGCUGCUCGGGGGGUGGCCGCCCACCGCCGCGGGGGCCUGGCACGCGCUGGGCGGUGGCAUGCAGCUGCAGGGAGAGGUAGGCGGCCGCUUCUGUCUGCUUCUGCAGCUCAGUGUUGAGGAUGGUGACACGGUGGCUGCGCCGCUUCAGCUCCUCCAGGAAGUGCCGCUCCUUGCUGCGGAGGCUGGAGCGCAGCGCGGCCACCAGCGUCUCCUUGUGCCGCAGCUCCUUGCGCA
Molecule: long non-coding RNA, 4145 nt
Filed under: Gallus gallus (chicken)
Lineage: Eukaryota; Metazoa; Chordata; Aves; Galliformes; Phasianidae
Source: RNAcentral